GACGAACGCUGGCGGCGUGCUUAACACAUGCAAGUCGAGCGGUAAGGCCCUUUCGGGGGUACACGAGCGGCGAACGGGUGAGUAACACGUGGGUGACCUGCCCUUAGCUCUGGGAUAAGCCUGGGAAACUGGGUCUAAUACCGGAUAUGACUCCAUGACGCAUGUUGUGGGGUGGAAAGCCUUGUGCGGCUAGGGAUGGGCCCGCGGCCUAUCAGCUUGUUGGUGGGGUGAUGGCCACCAAGGCGACGACGGGUAGCCGGCUUGAGAGGGCGACCGGCCACACUGGGACUGAGACACGGCCCAGACUCCUACGGGAGGCAGCAGUGGGGAAUCUUGCGCAAUGGGCGAAAGCCUGACGCAGCGACGCCGCGUGGGGAUGACGGCCUCGGUU
Molecule: ribosomal RNA, 391 nt
Filed under: uncultured bacterium
Lineage: Bacteria
Description: bacterial SSU rRNA
Rfam family: Bacterial small subunit ribosomal RNA
Source: RNAcentral